Cornus florida is the source of this 1434-nucleotide long non-coding RNA. RefSeq lists it as uncharacterized. The record is from RefSeq and is a predicted model, not a curated record. The transcript is spliced from 2 exons. NCBI's taxonomy places the organism in Eukaryota, Viridiplantae, Streptophyta, Magnoliopsida, Cornales, Cornaceae.
CCCAACAAAGAAAGGAAAUUUCCCCGAAUUGGAAUAGCAUUUCCAACGGAGGGAUUAACAUAACAACGUCUCCAAGUAAUAGAGGCGGACAAGUUGCGUUUUAUGUGUUGCCUAUUUGAAGAAACUUACUCUAUCUAAGUAAACUGAAAGAAAAUUAAGUCCUAAAUUUUAUUUUUUUGGACAUGUCCUCUUUUUACAAUUUAUUUCCAAAUCAGUUUAAAUUUAUUUUAUUUUCCAAUAAAUGGCUGCUGACUUUCCUUUUUUAUUCUUUCGGUCUCUCCUCUUUCUCUGUGUUCCUCUCUCUAACUUGUCAUGCCGUCCAAGCCACCAGAGAAAGAGGAAGAAGAGACCAAGCUGCGCUGAUUGUAUUAGUUGUUGAUUGUUAAUUUGAUGAGUUGGGGGUUGUGAGCAAGAAAGUAUAGAUGGGUGUUACCAGAAAAGUAUAUCAGUUUACUUGCUUGUCUACUCUUCUUCCCCUGAUGCAGCAGCUCUUAUAGUUGGAGAUUAGUCCAUGUUUGGCAAUUGGCUUUAACAAAUUCCACCAUAGUUUUUUGUUUUAUGUGCAACUUUAAAGCAAAGAAAAUGAAAUAUUGAGUUUGAUUUGAUCUGAGAGAGAGGUGAAUUUUCAUCUUUUAGGGUUUGGAUCGUUGCCGGUUGAACAGACCGGCGAAUCGGCUGCCGCGGCGACGGCGGCGUCUGAUUCUCAGAGAUCAAUUCCGACGCCGUUCCUCACCAAAACCCAUCAACUAGUAAAGGAUUCGUCCAUCGUCGACUUGAUCUCUUGGAACGAAGAGGAACCACCUUCAUCGUCUGGCGACUAGCUAAAUUUGCUUCGUUCGACAGCUAAACACUCACGGAUUUAAAAAGGUCGUGCCUGAUCGGUGGGAUUUGCCAGGUCCAAAUCGGCAUGAGAGUUUAGAGAGAGAAACAUAGACAUGAGAAGAGAGGAGAGACCCGGAAGAAACCCAAAAAAAAUUAAAAAAAUCAGCAGCCAAUACAACUUCAAUUCUUAUAUUUGAAGAUGAUUGGUACUUUAAUAGUUAAGUCAGCUUUUAUGGCAGAAAUUCUUAUGCUUCGUGGAAGUAUUAAGAUGUUGAUUAACUGGGGCUUCUCCAGUGUGAUUGUUGAGAGAGAUUGUCGAGAGAGAUUGUCAAGUAGCCAUGGCUCUUGUCCCAAAUGAUACUCUCUCAAUUACAGUUUUAGAUGAUAUUUUUGCUUUACUUCAGUUGGGCAAUGGUGAUUUUCUUUUGUCUUGGGCUAAUCGAGAUUGUAACUAUGUUGCUCACCAUCCAACGAAGAUGGCUCUCAGUUGUAAAAGAGUGGAUAGUGAUUGGAAUGUGUGGCCUUCAGGGCUACUCAAUCUCAUUGCUGUUGACCUUCUUUCAGUUUCUCUAUAAAAUGUUCUUCCGUUGCUCACCAAUGGUGAUUUUCUUU